This 23-nucleotide microRNA is filed under the name Homo sapiens (human). Its description in RNAcentral is "hsa-miR-3184-3p". The record is from miRBase by way of RNAcentral. Lineage: Eukaryota; Metazoa; Chordata; Mammalia; Primates; Hominidae.
AAAGUCUCGCUCUCUGCCCCUCA